AAGGAUUAGGCGAUUUGAUUGUUGUUAGUUUUUCAAAGUAAAAUUUACUUUGUUACCAUACAAUGAUUUUCAAUGAUUUGUGAGCUUUUUUAUCGAUUCUAAUAAUGGACCAGAAUUUUGUCUAGAUUGGACUUUUAUGUUUGACGUUUCGACAAAAGUAAAUCUAAUUUUAGCUAAUUAAUGUCCAUUUUAAUGGAAAAAUUUAGAGCCAUCUAGAGCUAGAAAGUAGAGGUAUUUUUUGUCAAAAUUGAGUCGCAGAUGUUUUUACUCUAUGAUUUGCUUGACACCGUUUGCUGACCAAAUCGAUUAAUUAAUUUACCAAUCAUCUUUAAAAGAUAUUAAUUAUUUUGAUUAACACAAGGACUGAGUUUGGAGACAGUGAAGUGAAUACUUUUAAAUUAAAAGUAAUAGUGUUUCUUUUUUUCCUCGAGACAAUCGUGUUUAGAAAAGUGCAAAUUCGUGUCUCUCAUUUGUUUACAUAUAUGGACGAUUGGAGGAUAAAGGUGAAUGAUAAAAGAUGAUAAUAAUGUGAAAAUCAAGGAGAAAGGGAUAACAGAAAGAUGUUGAUGGAAAAGGAAAGCUACAAAGUGUAUAAGACAAGUGGAGAUAUUAACUGUAUUAUAAGCUAUAAAAUGGUCAACAGGAAGAAGUAAACUCGAAAUGGAAAUGGGUCAAAUUUUGGUGAAUCCAUUAUGUUAAUCGACCAGCGCAAAAGAAGCCAUUUUCAAUUCACCUUUUUUGUUCGAGCCAAGACAAUGUUAUUCAUCAAAUUAUUGAAACAAUCAACUUAUGAUGAUAUGAGAGAUUCAUUAUUUUAAUCAUUAUUGCCAUUAUAUAUCUAAAUUAUAUUUUGAUUAACUAUUUAUUUUUCAUAAUCAUUACCAUUUACUACCCAAUCAGCCCAAUUAAAUGAUCAACCUUUCAAUUAACAAUAUUCAUAAUAAUGAUUCCUCUAUCCUCAACAGUUAUUCAAGUACCAAUUUAAAUCACAUUAAGGUUAACAAAGUUGAACACUUUCAUUACAA
Tetranychus urticae (two-spotted spider mite) is the source of this 1025-nucleotide long non-coding RNA. RefSeq lists it as uncharacterized. The record is from RefSeq and is a predicted model, not a curated record. Lineage: Eukaryota; Metazoa; Arthropoda; Arachnida; Trombidiformes; Tetranychidae.